UGGCUCUCGCAUCGAUGAAGAACGCAGCGAAAUGCGAUAAGUAAUGUGAAUUGCAGAAUUCAGUGAAUCAUCGAAUCUUUGAACGCAUCUUGCGCUCCUUGGUAUUCCGAGGAGCAUGCCUGUUUGAGUGUCAUUAAAUUCUCAACCUUGUCAGCUUUUAUCGGCUGGUCAAGGCUUGGAUGUGGGGGUUUUUUUGCAGGUCUUCACAGAUCUGCUCCCCUGAAAUACAUUAGUGGUGCCUCUGUAGUGUGAGCGGCUAUUUGGUGUGAUAAUCUAUCUACGCCAUUAGACGGCCUACAUCUCUUGAAUGAGAAGGAGGGAUUAAUCUGCUUAUAACCGUCCUUCGGGACAAAACAUAAAUGACUAUUUGACCUCAAAUCAGGUAGGACUACCCGCUGA
This 399-nucleotide unclassified non-coding RNA is filed under the name uncultured fungus. Its description in RNAcentral is "partial contains 5.8S ribosomal RNA and internal transcribed spacer 2". The stretch from base 1 to 133 matches the Rfam family "5.8S ribosomal RNA", at positions 22 to 154 of the family's 154-position model. The record is from RNAcentral. Lineage: Eukaryota; Fungi.